This 204-nucleotide ribosomal RNA is filed under the name Symbiodinium sp. clade D. RNAcentral's name for it is "partial Bacterial small subunit ribosomal RNA". It matches the Rfam family "Bacterial small subunit ribosomal RNA", at positions 500 to 703 of the family's 1533-position model. Lineage: Eukaryota; Dinophyceae; Suessiales; Symbiodiniaceae. The record is from RNAcentral.
ACUCCGUGCCAGCAGCCGCGGUAACACGGAGGGCGCAAACGUUGCUCGGAAUCACUGGGCAUAAAGCGCACGUAGGCGGCCGUCUAAGUCGGGUGUGAAAGCCCUCGGCUCAACCGAGGAACUGCACUCGAUACUGGACGGCUUGAGGACGGUUGGGGUGAGUGGAACUCCAGGUGGAGCGGUGAAAUGCGUAGAUAUCUGGAG